GAUGAAGGGCGUCUUGAUGAGGCAACAGCCACGUCACGACAUAGCAAUGUGUCAUGUAAUUUUCUCGAUUUUCUUCUUCAAGUCAAAUUUUGAUUGUAAUGCCCAAUUUUAGCCCGGGCCCAGUACUAAAAAUAAACAAUUAAAAAACACAAAAAAAGAAGAAGAAGAAAACCAAAAUAAUUAAACAAAAUGUCCACAGUCCAGGUCUUUAGUACAAAAUAGCCCAAAUAUACUGUACAAGCCCAAUAUUCAACCCAACCUAAGUCUACUAAGACCCUAAAACCAAAUUAACCCAAUUACAACCCAAAGCUACAAGGCCCAAACGACUCAAAAUACUUUAGAAACAGAAACUCUAGGGUUUUUCUGCCUUGUGCCGCAGCCUUUAGCCGCCAUACAGCCCCAACGCUAUUUGUGCCUUCACGUCAACACGCCGUAUGCCACCCACAUGCCUAGUGCCAGCACACGCUCCCUACCUGCGAAAGAAAACAAGAAAACAGCAGCAGAGCAGAAACCAAUAGAGAAAACAAAUUUUUUUGUAUUUUUUUUCUUUUGAUUAUUCGGCUAUAAAGCCCUUUUAUUUUUUAUUGUAAGGGUUCCUUUUUUUUACACGCACAUUACGCACACUAAAAUACAUACUGAAUAGAAAAUUCAGAAACAAUUGCAAGAAGGUGAUUUCGAAUGCCUUGUAUUUAUUUCUUUCGCAUCUGUUUCAUCUUCCUUUCGUGUUUCGCAUGUGUUUUUUAGUAUAAUGAAGUAAAAAAGAAAACAUACCUUAAAACGAGCCAUCGGAGACCACAUAUUCUUCGUUGAAAUUGAAGCUUGAGAUAGGUUUUCGGGGCUAAAAAUCUGACCUUUUGAGGCGAAGUUUAGAAUAGAGAAAUGGAACGAUUUCAUUGCUAGCCAUUAUUCGUCGAUUUCAAUGGUGGAAUAGUGGUAGUUGAAUGGACAAAGGGGGAUGGAAAAGCCUCAAAGCUGUGGCACCGAAACCCUAGCAAAUGGGUACUCGGUUUGUGGCUUGAAAAAUGGUUGAUUGCCAUUCUUUUUUUU
Molecule: long non-coding RNA, 1047 nt
Filed under: Gossypium barbadense (sea-island cotton)
Lineage: Eukaryota; Viridiplantae; Streptophyta; Magnoliopsida; Malvales; Malvaceae
Description: long non-coding RNA (GBAR_LNC000795)
Source: RNAcentral